GCCGCCCGCCGCGACGGUGCCCGAGAUCUCCUCGUCCGCACGCCGUCCGCGACCCCAGCGCUGCUUGCGACCUCGCCGUCCGCGAGACCGUCGGGACCGCGGGCACAUCCGUCUGCGCGAGGACGGGCCUCGAGCGCCGCCCGCGACCUCCUCGUGAGCGCCGUCCUCGAGCUGCCGUCCGCGCGACCCCUGUCCUCAAGCGCCGUCUGCCGUGAGAGCGUCGUCGACACGCCGCCGUCCGUGACAGCUGCCGUCCGCGCGAGCCCCGUCCUCGAGCGCCGCCCGCGAGCCGCCGCGACUGCCGCCAUGAGCUUGCCGGUGGCCGUGGAUGCGUCCGCGCUCUGCGAGAGCGCCCCAAUCCCUCCGUCAGCGAGGCGCUCGUGAGCGUCCGCCGUGAGACCGUCAGCGGGACCCCGUCCUCGAGCGCCGCCCACCGUGACGGUGCCCGGGAUCUCCGCGUCCGCACGUCGUCCGCGGGACCGUCGCGCCGUCCGCGACAGCGUCGGGACCGCGUGCACUUGCGUCUGCGCGAGGACGGGCCUCGAGCGCCGCCCGCGACCUCCUCGUGAGCGCCGUCCUCGAGCUGCCGUCCGCGCGACCCCCGUCGUCGAGCGCCGUCUGCCGUGAGAGCGUCGUCCACACGCCGCCGUCCGCGACAGCUGCCGUCCGCGCGAGCCCCGUCCUCGAGCGCCGCCCACGAGCC
RNAcentral lists this long non-coding RNA (703 nucleotides) under Sorghum bicolor (sorghum). Its description in RNAcentral is "long non-coding RNA (SBIC_LNC005862)". The record is from RNAcentral. Lineage: Eukaryota; Viridiplantae; Streptophyta; Magnoliopsida; Poales; Poaceae.